UACGAAGGGGGCUAGCGUUGUUCGGAUUUACUGGGCGUAAAGCGCACGUAGGCGGAUCGUUAAGUCGGGGGUGAAAUCCUGGAGCUCAACUCCAGAACUGCUUUCGAUACUGGCGAUCUUGAGUCCGGAAGAGGUGAGUGGAACUCCUAGUGUAGAGGUGGAAUUCGUAGAUAUUAGGAAGAACACCAGUGGCGAAGGCGGCUCACUGGUCCGGUACUGACGCUGAGGUGCGAAAGCGUGGGGAGCAAACAGG
RNAcentral lists this ribosomal RNA (253 nucleotides) under uncultured bacterium. RNAcentral's name for it is "partial 16S ribosomal RNA". It matches the Rfam family "Bacterial small subunit ribosomal RNA", at positions 524 to 776 of the family's 1533-position model. The record is from RNAcentral.